AUUUAUUUAAAAUAGUACCCUCGACAGGACCCUUAAGCUGUCCAAUACUCUCCAAAAAUUUAAAAAUUAGAACAGAAAAUUAAAUCCAGCCCAAACACUAGAAUGCUUCAACAAGCAAAGAAAUUAAGAGUUUCUAGAUAAUCUCAAAACCUAAUCCACCUGUAAACAACACAAUCAGGGGAAAAACCUUUCAUUUCCUAAUUGAGCUCCAAACAGAGCAUUUUAGAUGACUCUACUUCCCUUCCAUCUACGAUUGUAAGUUUUCAAUCCAGAGCCUUUACCCAUUGUCGAUCAACUUCUACCAUUGUCUUUGCAAAUUUUGACCAUCAUACAUCAGGAUAAUCUCUAUUCUCUGUUUAAACCCUUCAGUUGCUAACCGGUGCGCUGCUCCAUUGGCUGAUCUCUAUGCAUGCAUGAAGGUACAAAAUUGGAAAUCCUUGCUUAAAAUUUUCACAUCGUCGAUAUAAGCAAAAAUCUCAGAUCUAUCUCUCUCCUUUUUCCGUACUUUUUUUUAUCACAGUUCAGGAAUCUCUUUCAACUUCUAGCCUUUUGAUAUUCAGAUCUAAACACAUUUUCAUUGCCAUGGUACAAGCCACUUCAGCCGCAAAACGUUGAAGGUAUAUUCUCAUGAAACUUACGACACAUUUGGUUCACUGGAAUGAAAUAGAGUUAUAAUGGAAUAGAUCUGUAAUGAAAUAAAACUAUAAUGGAAUAGAGCUGUAAUCAGUAAUUCAAUUUUUUGGUUGAAUGUAAUGAAAUAGAACUGUAAUAGUAUUCUUGUGUUUGGUUGAAUGGAAUAGAUUUGUAAUAGCAUAAAGAAAAAAUUAAAAUGACCAUAGUAUCCUUAACAUAAUUUUUUUAGGUAGAUGAUUGUUGUUAUUAAAUUUUAAUAACAUUAUUAUUAAAUAUAAGUUAAUAAAAAUAAAAAUAAAUAAUUUAAUCAUAUUUUAAUAUAAUUAUUAUUAAAUAUAAUUUAAUAAAAAUAAUAUAUAAUUUAAUAACAUUCUUAAUAUAAUUAUUUUUAUAUUAAAUUAUAUUAAAAUAUUUAAAAUAAUUUAUUUACUACCUUUUAAAACAAUAUACUAUUAUUUGAAUUGGAAAAAAAAUACUUUUUUGUUAAAAUAAUACACUACAUUUUAUUUUUCUUUUUUCAACUAAAAGAGACAAAAAUGUUUGUUUGCCUACAUUAUAGAAUUGAAAAAGGUAAUGUUAAUGAGACAUCUUUGCAUUAAUGAUUGCUUUAAAGGAAGGGAUUAAAAAAAUUAUACCAAAUGAUAUAACCCCUAAAGGCCCAAGAUUUGGCUUCUCUUCAUUUCUUCUAACAAAUGAAGAAUUUCCCAAAAUAAUAGAUCACAAGCAAAUAAACAAAAGGUCCAUUAGAAAAUGAAAACCCUAUUCUAUUCUCAGUCUCUUGGCUCUCACUUCCUAAAGAUCAAACUCCAUCUUUAUCUCUGUUUCUUCAAUCCAUUCAUUACUCCAACCCCAAAAACUAAAAUGCACAUGCCACUAUGAAAACUGUUAAAGAAUAAAAAAAAAUAACAAUUGCUCAUUAGAAGCUUCAGUGAUGAAUUUAAACCUUGGAAACAAUUUUGGAUGCCAAUUGUCAAGUAUUAGAUGCUUGUGAUCCACUUCAAAAGUUCUAAGAGAAAAAGGGAUUCACAUAAAUUUUAACAGAGGACAAUCAAUUCAACAUUGAAAAGAUGCAUAAAAGAUUAAAAAUUACAACCAUUAGCAAUUUGCAGCUAGUUAUAUAAAUAUGUUGGACAGGGAUGUAAGAUAAUAUGUAUUGGAUACAAUAAGGAAAAUAAAUAAGAGGAGCAAGCUAAAUACAAUCCAUACCUAAUUAAUCUCUAGUUCUUUAUUUUUCCUACAUGGAGAUUUAAGGAAAAAUACACACUUUUUCUUACACAAUAAAAUACACUCCAAAAGGAAAAUAUAAGAUAUGUCAUCUUAACUCUCUUUUAACUGUUUUCGCAAUUAAUUGUUUCGAAGCCUUCUGUGGGUCUUUAAUUUUUUGCAAUAUCAACGGCCUCUUGAUUACUCAUCAUCUGGAUUAAGCAUAUGGAAAAGGAAAAAUUAUUCCUAUAAAACUAUUUCCAACUCAAUAAGGAGACAUCAAAGUAAAGUGUUUUACCUUCCAAAGACCAUCACUUGCAAGAAUUAAAAUAUUUGUUUUGUUAUCUAUGUUAGUCCAUUGAAUGUAGGGAUCUGAUUGUAGAUGCGAUUUAAGGCUCUUGUCACCGAAAUCACACGAAAUUGCCAGUUGUCCAUUAACUCUAGGAAUAUCUCCUGAUAUCAUGCACAAACAACAAAUUUAACAAUCUUAUCAUCUUAGCAAAUUAGAAAUAUAGGGUCUACUUUAUGCAAGGAAUAUGAUGCAUAUAAAUCAACCAAAUUAGAACCAAGACCUUAAUACCACUCAAUAGUAGAAACUUGAAGUUUUCAGGCAUCGAUUUCUUUCUUAGUAUCUCAUCAUGUAGGGCCAACAAACAAGAAUCAAAAUGAUAAAACAUAUACAACAUAAUGGCGACUGGCAAUUUCCUUUUUGGUUAGUAAGACCAAGAUUCUAAAUGCAAUGGAACAGGACAUUUCAAAAUUGUAGUGGCCUUAACGUGCCUAAUGCAUUUUUACUUCAUAACCAACACAAAGACGUGCCUUAAGAGACCAUUAAGUUGUUAUACAACAAGGAGAAAAAACAUAAAACAAAGUACGGAACUUCACCAGUGAUUGAUAUGUGAAAAAGGAAAAACAAAACAUUUUAUGGUUUACUACAAGGUUAGAAAAGCUGACAAAGAUGAUCUCUCCUUAUGAUUGCAAAGAGGCUAAGAGCUAAAUAUAAUAAUUAAGUAUUAGAAGUUGCAAGACCACUUGAAAACACUCAGCAGAUAUAACAAAAAACAUUCAUUUUUGUUUGAAAAGAACAAAACAUCUCUAAAGUUGUUAUUCUAAAGAUUACAAUGAAAAUUUCAAAACCAUGAACCACCAUAACAUGUAAACAUAAACAAACAGGAAACAAAAAGGUAAAAUAAAAGAGCUUCUGCUAAGAUAAGGGAAAUCAAAAUUAAGAUAAAGUGACCAUAACCAUAUGACAUGUAGGUUUGUUCUUGUUUAAAAUUAAAAGUUGCCAGAAUAUAAAGGUCUUUUCCCUUUUAAGUGUAUAAGAAAAAGCAUCAUUCAAUCAGGAAGAUCAAAGAUAUGCAACUUUACACCAUUGUUAUUAAAUUGAUUCAUCAACAAAAUGAAACUAAAUUAAAAUUGUUACCCUCUAAAACUAGAUACUUCUUUGUUUUCAUGAAUAUGCAAAUUGAUGUUUGUGAAUGCAAAUGCAAAAGGUAGCAGAUUUAUUUUACAACCUUACCACAACCAGAAACUAUUAACCAUGAUAUUAAACUGAUAUACAAGAAAUAAAAAAAAACCAACACAUCAUAAACAAAUAAACAACAAAGAAAACCACACAAAAGUUUCACAAAUACAACAAAAGCUUAUUUUAUUUUAUUUUCAUGGACAAUGUUCACCAAUUUUCAAAUAUAUGCUUGCAAAGUGUUUGUGAAUUUGACAAUAUAAACAAAAUAUCUACUCUCUUUGAAAUUAUUGAAUUAUGGGAUACUUUAACAAAAAAAAACAUAUUGUGCUGAAUAAUGUGCCAUCUUUGGCUGAAAAGAAAAGAGAAAAAAGCUUUAUGAAUGCAAAAUUUGCCACACGAAAAUGGAAAUAUGAUUUUUAGUAAAAGAAGUAUAUGCUUUAAACUUCUUGAUGUUGGUAUUUGAAAAAACAGGAUUUAUAAAUUACACCUCACCAAGUUUACAUGAAAUCACCAUAAAAAAACCCAUUGUCAUAGUAGAAAUCCUUAUUUAUUGAAUAAUUACCAUCAGAAAGCAAAGUUAUUAAACCCAGAAAAACUUUCAUAAACAAAUAAUAAUAAAAACCCAAAAGCACAAUUUUACAAUUAUUUCAUUGAAAUCAACUUUAAAAGUAGUACAUCCAUAUACACAAUAAAAAAACAAUAAUGAAAUUAGAAAUUUGGGUCGGAAUUAAAACUUACCAGAUCUUGGAUCCUGCAAGACCACUCAAAAAAUGCUUCACUUCUUUUUUUAAUGGAUUAAACAAUCAGGAAUUUUGUAAAUAUAUUGAAGAGAAAAAGAGUUUUGGUGUGCGAAACAGAAAGGGUUGGGAGGAAAUAAAAUUAAAAGAAAGGGUUUAAAUUAAGUGAAGAAUAGAUGAUAUUGGAAAGUUGUUGAUUUACAAUGGAGGGAAGAAGUAUGGAAAAAAAAAGAAAAGAAAUUCAAACAUUGGAAAGAAGGGAGGAUGGUGAGGGUAAAAUUGAAAGGUUGGCUAAUUUGUUACUCUACCUAUUCCAUAAAUCACCAUUUUGUGGGGAGAGUACAAAAUGGUAUUCUGCAUUUUCACGCUGAAUAAAGUUGUAUAGAAUAGGUAGCUUAUUACAACCAACCAAACAAUGGUUUGGUGAUGGGCCCAUUGAAUUGGGCUGUAAUGCAUUGUUAUUCUUUCCAACCAAACAUAAUGUUAGUUUUUGAAGCUAUUACCUUUCCUCUUGAAUCCUUUAUCAGAAUACCAGAGCAUGACCUUUUCUCAUUUUUCCUAUUACCAGUUUCGAAAUUGACUUUGACACAUGCAUUCUCUGGCCUUUUCCAUCGCUCCAUUGCACCCCAUUUCUCCAAUAAGAUUCUCAUAAGAUCAUCCAGCUCUUUAAUGUAGUUCUUGAUGAAAUUCACAGUAUAUAGAACAACUUGUCUUUCCUUUUCAUGCACCAAUUUAUCUUGACUCAUCCAAAUUUCCCACAAAGUGCAAAGAAAUAAUUUGCAUUGACUUUGUGAACAAUGUUAAAAAAUGUAGGCUAUCCAGUCUCUAUGACUCGUAUUUUCCAAAUUUUGGGGCCACCCAAACCUCAACUUUUCUCAAAUCUCCUUUGUAAUUCUACAAUCGUGCAUCACAUGUACUACUGUUCUGCUACCUCAUCAUAUCUAGGACAACGUGUUGUGACGAUCAGUCUUUGUAGUGUAGGUUGUUUAAAGUAGGAAUAAAGUUGCAGAUUAUACGCCACAUUGUAAUCUUUAUUUUUUGUGGUAGAUUUAACAGCCAUAAUUUUUUGUAAAGAUCACCUUCUGUAUUUUGUUCUUGUCUAGCAUUUGGGUUUGUAAGUCCUUGUAAAAGGAGCUUGUAUUCACUGCGUAUAGAGUAUUCACUAGAUGUUUCUCCUCUCCAUGUUAUGUGGUCUUCACUUGGGUAACGUGAAAAAGGAAUAUUGAGAAUCUUUUCAGCAUCCCUUUCACUAAAGGUACUUUGAAUAAGGUCAUUUUUCCACCUUCUAGUGUUAGGUUCUAUCAAAUCUACAACUAGUCUCAUAUCUUGAUCACUAACCCCAUCUUGAAUUCUAUAGUUAAUUCCUCCUGGAACCCAAGUAUCAUUCAAAAUCGAAAUGGAGGUCCCUAUACCCAAUCACCAGCACAAACUGGCUUGAAGGAGCCCUUUUGCAGCUUACACACUUUGCCAGGUAUAGGAAGGUAAAUUACCUAAACCUACAUUAAUAAUUUUUUAACGGUUAAUACUUUGAUUUUGACAUUCUUACUAACAAGAAAUUCGUAUAGUAAAUUAAACGCCAUCCUUGUUUUGCUAAUAACGCCAAAUUGAACUUUGUUAAGCUUCUAAAAUCAAGACCACCAUUCUCUUUCAAACUGCACAACCUUCCCCUAUCACACCAAUGUAAUCCAAGUUUUCCAUGACUUUUCUACUACCAAAACUUUCCCAUAAGGUUUUCCAUUCCCACACAGAGAUUUUGGGAGAAGAAAAUAAGACAUAGAAUACAUCAGAUUUGAUUGCAAAAUGAAUUUUAUAAAGACUUCUUUUUCUCCAUGUGAUAGAAAUCUUGUACUCCAAUUGUCAAUUUUCUGCUUGAUACGAUCCAUAAAAGUUUGAAAUGCCUUUCGUUUUGCUCGUCCCACCAUAUUUGGGAGCCCCAAAUAUUUUUCAUGAUUGUCAGAACUUCUAAAUCCCAAAAUAUCUUCCACUAAAUGCCUUUCUUGAUCACUAACAUCUACGCUAUAAAAACUUGUUAACUUCUUGAAGUUAACACAUUUCCCUGUACACCCUUCAUACUCCCUCAGAAUAUUUUUGAACACAUUUUCCCCAUUCUCACUUGCCUUUCCAAAACAAAAUGUAGUCAUUUGCAAACAUAAGAUAUGUAAUCUGAGGGCUUCUACGACAAACUUUAGCCCUUUUAAUAGACCUUCUUCUCAAGCUAAUCUCAUAAGUGUAACACCCCUAACUCGUAUUAGUCGCUAGAAUAGGGUUACAGAGCAUUACCGAAGUUUACAUUUCAAAACUAUCAAAAAAUAUAACUCAUUUACUUCGCAACAUCAAUCAUAGAAAAUUUCAUCAAUAACAUACAUAUUGUCUCUUAUACGAGCCCUCGAGGCUCUAAAAACACAUUAGAAACAAAUCAAGACUAAAUCGAAAACAUAUAGAAUUUUCAGGGAAAAGAUGAAAAUUUUCAACCUACAGGGCUCAUAUGGCUGAGACACACGCCUGUGUCUCAGGCUGUGUAGACAUUCGGAGUAAGGACACACGGCCAUGUCCUAGCCCAUUUCUGUGCCCGUGUAACUCUCUGACUUGGGUCACACGGCCAAGCCGCACGCCCGUGUACCCUUCGAAAUGACCUCACACACCCGUGCGCCAGGUCAUGUGCUAGGCCGUGUAACUGCCUGACUUGGAAUCCCUUAGUAAGCUACAGGGGACACACGACUUUAUCGCUUGGUCGUGUGUCACACACAGCUAAGACACACGUUCGUGUCUCUACCCGUGUGGACGAAAAAUAGGCUAUUUCCAAGCCAUUUUUCUCACCCAAUCAUGCAUACACCUACAACCAAUUUUCCACAUGUAAUCAAGCAUUCAAAUUGCAACAAAUAAUGCAUCAACAAGCUAAAUCAAUAAGGUAUAUAUUCACACAACCAAUAUGCCCAAUAGGCACCUCCAAUCACAACAAUCAUACAUAUGUUCACAUUUGCAUAGUUUAGCCAAAACUCAACCAACUUAUAAUUAAGUUCAUGCCAAAACUUACCACUAGGUUCACAUAUCAAAAUCACACUCAUAUGUACCAAAUUUACCAUUUAACAUUUAGCAUAAAAGCCAUAAAUACCAACUACAUUUUUAAUACCAAAAUGACCAUGUUCAACGUCCAUCAUCUAAGCAUCAUAAGGACUAUAAAGUCAUCCAUCAAAAGGCUACAUACAUAUAUGCACAUAUCAACCAUUUCAAUCAUUCAUAAUACCAAAAUUUACAAGCCAAAACAUAAUGGCUAAAACAUCAAUCAAAACACCUAUACAUGUGCAUAUUUAACCAAUUAUCAAUUAACUUGUUUCCAUGCCAAAACAGAACAUAAUUGAUACAUAACCACCAUACCAUAUUAGAUUCAUGCCAUAUCUAGUUUAAAACCUUUCCAAAGCAUACCAUAUCUUCACCAUGUUGAGGCCAGUUCAUCAUAUAUCACUUUGGCCAUUCAAACAUGCUUUAACACAUUAUCAAAUUAACACAUAUCAACAAGGCACCAAAUGUACCAAGGCUACAUCACCCAAAAUGACAUAUACAUGCCAAACUCAUCAACUAACAUUCAACUAAUCAUCAACCACAAGUCCACCUAUACAUGCCAUUAUAACCUUAACCAAGACAUCAAAAUCCACCGAUAUAAUCGUUGGAUAGUGUGAUAGAUCUUCAACGAGCUUCCAACCCAAUCGAGCUUCCAACCUAAUCGAGCUUCUGAUAAUUUGAAAAGUAAAGGAAAAACAACUACGUAAGCAAUGUAUGCUUAAUAAGCUCGUAUAAACUUUAAGUAUAAAAAUUCCAUUUCGAUAUUAAACUUAUUAGAAUAGACAUAAACCUAUACCAAUGCCAAUAAUUCAUAAAUACAUAUGAUCAUCGACUCACAAAUGAGUAAAUUCAUUAAUAUCAUAUAUAUCUAUCAUUCAUAAUAUGAUAGGAUUUUAUGGGACAUAAUGUAUAACCAUCGACCUUUCUAUAAGAUUAUACACCUUUUAGUUUAGGUACUUUCCAUUCUGUACUCAAUGCUUAUCAUAAGCCUAAACAACAUUAUCAAUUUCCGACUUAGUGUAUUUAUCCCUGAUCUAGAUAUAUUCAUCCAUAGCAUACACAAUUUUUUUCACAUAUAAAUACAUCAUUUAUCAUAUUAAACUUUUUAUAACAUCAUAAUACAUCCCAAUUACGUACUUACCAUUUUGUUCCCUUUUCUUACCCGUACAUAUGCAUAGUAUAAGCAUAAUCAUAAACAUCAAUCAUAUCCACAAGCUUAGCAUAAGCCUAAGCACAUCAACAACAUAUGUUAGUUCAUUUAAACAUUAUUCAUAUGAAUUUAACAGGGAUAACCAUUAUACUUAAGCACAAUUCAAUUGGAUUUAUCAUUCAUCUCAAAACAUAUCAUAUUUUUCAUAUAGCACCAUUCCAACAAGUUUUAUGCAUACAUAUCUUAAUUCAUAUUAAACACUUACCAUUUCAUUUGCACAGCACAUAAAACAUAAAUAUAACAUUAACUAUAUUCACAAGUUAGUGAAUAAACACAUAAUUUAGCAUAAUCACUGCAUGGUAAAAUAACUUUCAUGAAUAUAGCAUAUAAGCUUUCAUACUUUUCAUGAAAAUGGCUAUACACACUUUAACCAUUAGUAACUCAUACCUUUCUAUACUUUCAUGACAUUUCCAAUUGGAACACUUACCGUUCCUUCCUUUUGUAUGCCUAUUGAACCACUUAGAAUAAUAUCAGAUACGCGAAAAUCUCACACACUAUGUACUAACAUAUGGUCGAAACCAUUUCUUCUCUUUUCUCAUAUAAAUGCUCUCUCUUGAGCCAUAAGUGGGUCUGCUCACACAAGCUAUCAAGUAACCGCAACACAUGCCAAAAACUUAGCAACCGAUAGGACGUUCAGGACUAGCACCCGAAACACUGUAACCCCUAAUGUUAUGUCACUUGUAUCCUAUAUGUUCCUAAGGUUCAAACGGGGCUCGAUAGUCAUCGUACGUCGUUGAAUUUUCAUCGUUUCUUUACUCGAUCAAUUGUGUAAUUAACAUAUAUAUAUUGAUUAAUUUUCAAUAAAAUCAUAUAAUAACAUUUAAACUUACCUAGCGAUUUUGCAGAAAUAUCAAAGUACAGGGGCAUUUUGAUAAUUUUCCAUUCUCCUUGAUUUUCCACCCGAUCUUGAUCUAAAUUAAUAAUUUCAUUCAGUUUGUUAAUUUAGAAAGUAAAAAAAUGUAUUUUAUGCAAUUUAGCUAUUUUUUUACAAAAUUGACACUAAAGUUAUACUUUUAUUCAAUUUAGUCUCUAAGCCUAAAACAUGCAAAUUAACCAUUUUUAAUGCAAAUCCAUGCUAGCCAAAUAUUCAUGGCAUUCAAUACAGCCCAUUUUUGCAGUAAUUUCACAACAAACCCUUUUAUUUUUACUAUUUCAACAAUUUAGUUCCUAAUCGAAAAAUUCAUCAAAAAUCCCUUAAUAAAAUACUUUUAAAUACCAACCAACAUUUCAAAUUCAUAAUUUAACAUAAAAAAUCACUAGAUUCAUCAAUGGCAACAUUGAAAAUCUUUAAUAGUUUCAAAAUCGAUGGUACGGGCUAGCUGGACCUAGUUGGAACGAUAUUAAAAACAUAAAAUUUAAAAGAAACAGGGCUAAAAUGACAUACAAAUUAAGCUUUUGAACAUGCCGAAAUUCCUAGGUCUAAAAUAGCUCCGUUUUCUUCUUUACAAUCGGUGAAAAAGACAUGAAAAUGGUUAUAAUGGCUUUUCUUUUAUUUAAUUAAAGUUUAAUUAUAAAAGUACAAUUUUGUCCAUUUAAAAUUCAACAAAUUUUCAAGAUUUUAAUUAACCAAAACCGUCCACUAACUCCUUAAAUGGUUUAAUUACCAUUUAAGCCCAUUUUCCUUUAUUCAAUAAGCCAUUUAAUCACUCAAAUCAAAAAGUGAUCAAAUUUUACGUCUUUUACAAUUUAGUCCUUUUUAAUUAAUUAACUGUCGAAACGUUAAAUUUUUUUAACGAAACUUUAAUACCACCUUAAUGACACUUCAUAAAUAUUUAUAAAAAUAUUUACUGUUCAGUUUAUAGAAACGAGGUCCCGAUACCUCAUUUUCUAAAACCAUUUGACUUUAAUGUCUUACCAUUCGAACUUAAUAAAUCGCUUAAAUAACAUAAAUUAUCAAAUCAAAAACCUUUUUAAAACCACGGUUGACUCGUAAAUAUUUAAUAAUAAUGUUUACUAACUUACUUGUCGAAUUUGGUGGUCCUAAAACCAUUGUUUCCAACACCACUGAAAAACAGGCUGUUACAAUAUGAGUCGACAAACCUUUACUACAAAACAGAAAAAGAUAAGGACUUAAUGGAUCAUCUUAACAUAACCCCCUAGAAGGACGAAACGCCUUUCCUUCUUCCCCAUUCAUAAUGACCUUGCAUAAUGUUGUGGAGAUACAUCGAAUGAUAAGGUGAGUCAACCUAUCUUCAAAACCCAUCUUUAACAUUAUACAUUUCAGAAAAGUCUACUCCUCCCAGUCAUAUGCUUUACUCAUAUCCAACUUAAAAGCUAAACAACCCUUGAGACCUAUCCUCUUAUUUUUGAAAGUGUGCAGAAUCUCGUAGACAAGCAAAACAUUGUCAGUUAUCAACUGACUAGGAACAAAUUUACUCUACGCUUCAUCAAUACAAAGACCCGAAACUAUUUGAAGCCUAUUUGUGAUAGCCUUAGAAAUAAUUUUAUACAUAAUAGUACAUAGGCUUAUGGGAUGGAAAUUUCUCGGAUGAGAUAUCUUUGGAAUCAAAAAAAUAUUCAUAACAUUAAUAGGUUCCAAAGACAUACCUUGAUUAAGGAUUUCCAGGAAAUAAGAGUUGACAUUUGUAAACUGAAAAAUAUAUAGGAUUUUUCCUAUAUAAUUCAUUACAUUUUUACUCAAAUUUGUUGUUAAAACCAAGUAAUUGUUUAAUAAAUUAAUGAAAUACGUGAAAAUAUGAAAUUAGGACAUAGAAAUUAUUAAAAUGUGAUUUUAUACUUUAUUAUAUAGUUUUCAUGCAUAAAAUGGCUUAUUUUAUAUUAAUUUGAGCAUAUUAUAUUUUUAAGCUAUAAAGUGGGUCAUGCAUGAUUAAAUUAAACAAUAAAAUAUAAAGUUAUAUUUAAUAAUUCAUUUUUAAUAAUUCAUUAAUAAAUUGGGUUUUAAUUAAUUAAGUAAAUUGAUUAAUUAAAGUGGUUAAAUUAUAUUAUUUGGUCCUCUAAACUAUCUACUAUUUUUGGAUAGGUUUGAGAGUUUUCUUCUAAUUGCAAAACCGUCCAAAUUGGGGACCAAGUCUACCCAAUUUUUGGCUACACAUGGAUGUCAUAAACCAUUUUUUUGGUUUAAUUAUACAAAGUCCUUGAAGAGUUAAAGAAAUUGGAGAUUUUCCCGAAGAUUUGCUGAUGACCGAGUCUUAGUCUUGAAUUGUUGUGGCACUCAAAUUGACCAAAAAUUAAGGAAAAAUCAGCCACCUUUCCUCAAUUCAUGGCCAACCACUCUUGAAGGAAGUUUCAAAGGAUGGACACUCCUAUUUUAAGCAAACUAGCUCCCUUGCCUCACCUAUAAAUAAGAGCUCAUUUCUCACUUUUUUAAUCAUCCCUCAUCCCAUCAUCUCUCACUCAUUCAUCAUUCUCUCAACUCUUUUAGCUAUCUUUCCCCUUCAUCAUCCUUGCAUAAGGGUUUUAGCAAUUAAGCCUCUUAAGGAACCCUUGGUCUGCCACCUUGGAGAGCCAUCAGCAAAGGAGCAACGUAAAGAAGUGAAGGAGCCUCGUCAGUCAGAGUCUUGGGUGACAACCACUCUGAAUUGUGUUUAAUCUUUCUUUUCUUUAAAUUUAAUUUAAA
This 11888-nucleotide long non-coding RNA is filed under the name Gossypium barbadense (sea-island cotton). RNAcentral's name for it is "long non-coding RNA (GBAR_LNC014921)". The record is from RNAcentral. Lineage: Eukaryota; Viridiplantae; Streptophyta; Magnoliopsida; Malvales; Malvaceae.